Molecule: ribosomal RNA, 520 nt
Filed under: Onykia robusta (robust clubhook squid)
Lineage: Eukaryota; Metazoa; Mollusca; Cephalopoda; Oegopsida; Onychoteuthidae
Description: partial 16S ribosomal RNA
Rfam family: Bacterial large subunit ribosomal RNA
Source: RNAcentral
CUCUCUUUGUGUACUAUAAAUAAAGAGUUGGGCCUGCUCGGUGAACAAUUGUUUUAACAGCUGCGGUAUUUUAACUGUACUAAGGUAGCAUAAUAAUUUGCCUUAUAAUUUGAGGCUAGAAUGAAUGGUUUGACGAAGGUUAAUCUGUCUCUACUUUAUUUUUUAGAAUUUAAUUUUUAUAGUGAAAAAGCUUGGAUUUUUUAAAGGGACGAGAAGACCCUAUUGAGCUUAUAAUUUUAUUGCUAGGUCAUUAUUAAUAUAAAUGAGAAGCAUAUAAAUUUUAAUUGGGGUGAUUAAGGAAUAAUUUUUGAUUAAUAACUUCCUUAUAUUGAAUUUUGUUAGGUAAAGUAACCAAUAUAGUAUUGCUUAUAAUAUAGUUACCAUAGGGAUAACAGCGUAAUUUGUUUAGAGAGUUCUUAUUGAAAAACAAGAUUGCGACCUCGAUGUUGGAUUAAAGUAACCUUAAGGUGCAGAAGCUUUAGUAGGUAAAUCUGUUCGAUUUUUAAAACUUUACAUGAUC